UUCCAGUGGAGCCGUCCUUGAAAUACCACCCUGGUAAUGUUGAGGUUCUAACUCUGUCCCGUGAUCCGGGACGAGGACCGUGUCUGGUGGGUAGUUUGACUGGGGCGGUCUCCUCCUAAAGAGUAACGGAGGAGUACGAAGGUGCGCUCAGCGUGGUCGGAAAUCACGCGUAGAGUAUAAAGGCAAAAGCGCGCUUAACUGCGAGACCCACAAGUCGAGCAGGUACGAAAGUAGGUCUUAGUGAUCCGGUGGUUCUGUAU
RNAcentral lists this ribosomal RNA (260 nucleotides) under Klebsiella pneumoniae. RNAcentral describes it as "partial 23S ribosomal RNA". It matches the Rfam family "Bacterial large subunit ribosomal RNA", at positions 2175 to 2434 of the family's 2925-position model. Lineage: Bacteria; Pseudomonadati; Pseudomonadota; Gammaproteobacteria; Enterobacterales; Enterobacteriaceae. The record is from RNAcentral.